GACGUAACGGCUGGCGGCGUUGCUUAACACAUGCAAGUCGAACGGUGACGAGGAGCUUGCUCCUCUGAUCAGUGGCGAACGGGUGAGUAACACGUGAGCAACCUGCCCCAGACUCUGGGAUAACAGUUGGAAACAGCUGCUAAUACCGGAUACGAGACGGAGAGGCAUCUCUACCGUCUGGAAAGUUUUUCGGUCUGGGAUGGACUCGCGGCCUAUCAGCUAGUUGGUGAGGUAAUGGCUCACCAAGGCGACGACGGGUAGCCGGCCUGAAGGGCGACCGGCCACACUGGGACUGAGACACGGCCCAGACUCCUACGGGAGGCAGCAGUGGGGAAUAUUGCACAAUGGGCGAAAGCCUGAUGCAGCGACGCCGCGUGAGGGAUGACGGCCUUCGGGUUGUAAACCUCUUUCAGCAGGGAAGAAGCGAAAGUGACGGUACCUGCAGAAGAAGCACCGGCUAACUACGUG
This 468-nucleotide ribosomal RNA is filed under the name uncultured bacterium. RNAcentral describes it as "bacterial SSU rRNA". It matches the Rfam family "Bacterial small subunit ribosomal RNA", at positions 35 to 507 of the family's 1533-position model. The record is from RNAcentral.